Molecule: ribosomal RNA, 157 nt
Filed under: uncultured bacterium
Lineage: Bacteria
Description: partial 16S ribosomal RNA
Source: RNAcentral
GCACGGAGUUAGCCGAAUCCUUAUUCUUACGAUACCGUCAAGCUGCUUCACGAAGCAGUGUUUCUUCUCGUACAAAAGCAGUUUACACACCAUAGAUGCUUCAUCCUGCACGCGGCAUGGCUGGAUCAGGCUUGCGCCCAUUGUCCAAUAUUCCUCA